CUCCGGCUCGAAGGACCAAUUUGGUCCUUCGAGCCGGAGUA
RNAcentral lists this microRNA precursor (41 nucleotides) under Gadus morhua (Atlantic cod). RNAcentral describes it as "microRNA gmo-mir-7550 precursor". Lineage: Eukaryota; Metazoa; Chordata; Actinopteri; Gadiformes; Gadidae. The record is from miRBase by way of RNAcentral.